Molecule: RNA transcript, 3937 nt
Organism: Vigna unguiculata (cowpea)
Lineage: Eukaryota; Viridiplantae; Streptophyta; Magnoliopsida; Fabales; Fabaceae
Source: RefSeq, a predicted model, not a curated record
UUUAAAUUGGUUCGCAGCAGGAUGGAACUCAAACCCUAGAAAUACAAAAAACUGAGACUGGAUACUUCCAUGCUCUGUCCGCGAUAUGCUUUGGAUGCUUUCAGAUCUGUGAAUCAGAAAGUGAAUGUGAGUCCCAUUGUUAUCAAAACCGGCAGAGUCACAACGGAACAGAUUAUUGCUGUGUCGGUACACAUCACGGCUGUGAACAUUUUUCCUGGAACACAUGCUUGGUUCUCCGAUUCAGUGAUGUCCUACAUACAUCAAUAAUGGAAAUCAAAGUGGCUCGACAAAUGGAUAAUGCGUGGCGACCAAAUCGAUGAUUUAGGAGUUGAUGUCUAAGAGUACUGGUUACUUUUAGGAGUUUACAACCUUCAAAACUACUAGGUACUUUCUUCUUCUAUCAAUGAGAAAUAUUUCAAAGUUGAUACGCCUACGAAAGUUUGAGAUAUUUUCACUAAAGUUAUGAAUUUGCAAACUUAAAAUAUUAUUGUUUUCUUUCUUUUGAAAUAAAUAUUUAUUCAAUAGUCAAAAUGUCUAUGUUCUUAAAUAGAGGGACAAAAUGAAAUCUUUCGUCGUAUAGAAUUCUAGAAUGGGAAUGUCGUGCAUGUAAUAAAUGCAAGCAGUUGGAGAAGUGGAUCUUUUGAUAUUUCUUGUGUCUGAUUAUUUUUUAUGUUAUUAUCGGUAAAGAUGGGAAACAAGAUAUUUAGUUUAAAAUUAGUUUGGGAAAAGUUAACAUCAUUGUUUGAUUCAAAGAUGAAUUUGAAAAGUUUUUGAACAAUGUUAUGUCCAGUCACAUCAUCUAGUUAAUUGUAUUUUCGGUCUUUGAAGUACACAAUGGUGCCUAGCAGUUAACUUUUCGCAAACUGGUUUUGGAUAAUAGUAAGUGUCUUGUUUCAUAUCCAGUAACAUAAAAGUGGAGCAAUCAGAUAAAAGAAAUUCCACAUAUUCACUUCUCCAAAAACGCUUACAACAUACACAUAUCAUUCAUAUUCUUGAAUGUUAUAUGAAAGAAUUUAUUGUUGUUCUCAAUACUUUAGAACAUGCCUUUUUUUGACUAUUUAAGAAGAUAUAUUUAUUUGAUGAGAAAAGAUAUAAUGAUAUUUUAGGUUUGUGAAUGCAUAGCUUUACUGGGAAUGUCUCAAAUCUUCUUAGGUGUAUAAACUUUGAAAUGUUUCUUUCUAGUAUUCUUUUUAAGUAGAAGGAGUACCCAAUAAUUUUGAAGAAAGUAAACUCUCAAUAACAUCCCAUAUUGUAUAUUCAACUUGAUUUUUUGAGUAAUAUGAAUUUAAAUGCAUUAGAUUUUGAAGGUAUUGCUUUCGAAUUAUCCACACAGUUUUUAGGGCCAAAUUUCUGGCAUUUCUUUUGUAAAUUUAUAUAUCUGCAGUAGCACUUAGUUUCAAAGAUAUAUAAUGUUUUUAGAAAUAUGGAAAAGUAGUAGUAUUAUAAUUUUUAGAAAAAUCUUGAAAUUAUUAAGCAUUUUAGGAUUUCUAUGUGAAUCAUCAACUUGAACCAUAAAUGUUAGUAUGAACAUCAACUUAAAUUAUAGGGAAAUAAUACAGAACUUUAACAACGAAAUAAAAAUUUCUUGAAUCAACUGACACAGUAUUUUACUAUUUUAAAAUUGGAGAAACAUAACCUUAAAUUUGAAACUUGAUCUUCAGAGUAGUUUUGUUCAAUGAUGGAAAAACGUUAACUUAUGGAUUACACUAAAUUUUUUUCUUACAUUAGUCCAUCAUCAUCAUGCGACACAUGUUACUUGAUUGUGUGUUCUCUUUCAGAGGUAUUUUUAAUUAUUCACUCUCUCUACGGCCCUUUCCUAAAAUUAUUUUAUGCAAUUUCACUCAACUUGUUUUUUAUGGGAACCUUACCAUCUAUGUCGACUUGUUUGAAAAGACUGAAGAUGACAUCAAAUUUAGGUUGGAUUGAUAACUCCGAACAUGGGAACUACAUUUAAUGUAUCUGUCAAUACCUGGUUUCGUAUAGUUGAAUAAAAUGUGUUAUUAAAAAUAAUGAUAAUAGAUAAACAAAAAAUUGUUGAAAUAAAAUAUGUAAAAAGAAAUUUUAAAAUUUAAAAGAAAAUUAAUUGGUUAAAUUAAUUAGAAUUUAAAAAUAAUAAAAAAGAAGUCAUUUUUGAACCUAUUAUUUUGCCCAUUUUUUGUUAAAAAUGAUAUUAGCAUUUGCAUUCUUGUUACCCCUGAUUUUCUUUGAAGAGGCCAAUCCCAAUUUGCUACCUACACACCUGUUUUAUUAUUUCUCCAUCCUAAAAAACCCUCUGCAAUCUUUAGACACCCUUGUCAUCCUCUUUCUUGCUCCAGGCCAACAGAAUUCCUACUCACGAGGGUAACACCUGACCCUAACAGACCACACUCACUCAACAAAACUCGUGACUUUCUGUUUUUUCCCAAGGCAAACGGCACUAACACAAAAGAAGAGAUCACGUUUUUGGUUGACUCUCUCACACACAAUCACGAGACAGAGGACCUCUUCACAAUCUGUAUCCACUCAUCCUUAUCGUUUUGGGGCCCUCAUUCAUCUGAAAUUGAUUGAAUCAUUGAAGUUCUUGAUCUCUUUGAGUUGGCGUUUGUGCCUGAUAUUGUUUUGGGGUCUGGUUCGUGUGGCAGAACUUGCCCCCCGUUCUAUCAUUCUUAUCAGUGUUAUUUCUGAAGAUUGAAGAAAGUCUGUUGGUGUAUGACAUAGAUUUCUUCAUUUUAAUCUCAGUAGAAACCGAACCGCUUCUCACCCUUUCAUCUUCAUCUCUGCAAUCCUCACUGUAGGAGAAAAACCUGUCCGUGAAUCCACUUUUGGAGCGAGCAUUGUGCACGCCUACCCUUGCCUGCAUCUGGUGAGGUCAUUUUUUCACUCUUUUUUUUCGAUUUGGGGGUGGGAUGUGUUGUGAAAACAUAUUCUUAUUCCCUGUUUUUUAGCCAGAGUGCUUGAGGGUAUUGCAAAAGGGUCACGUUUUUUUUGUAGCUCGGAGCGAGUCCAGGUAAGGGGCCACUGUGAUCGGAAAUUUCUGCGCACGGCUUUACAAUCUGCGAAAUGUGGAAGAAUUUGGGAAAUGUGUUUGAAAUGAUUUUUUAUAUUUUAAACUAAAAGUUUUAAAUAUAUGUAUUUUAAUACUUCUAUUUAUUUUUAACAAUGAAAUCUGAGAUCAUGCUGGACAACACUAGUCAAUCUAGCUUGUUAAACAAACCAUUUAGGGGUUGGUUGUCAUUCGAUCACAACUUAAGUGCAUAUUGUUUCCUUCAAAUUUAGGGCACAUAAGUUGAUGGUCCUAUCUAACAUUUAUUAAAUAUGUAUUCUUUCUGAUUUGCUAGUGAGUUGAUUUUUGGUUGCUGCUGAGAGUUUUAGGGGAGGAUUUGGUGAAGUAUGGAACACUUAUUCAUUCAAUCCUUCUGUUUUUAUUUUUUUGUUUUCUUUUUAUGUUAAGUCCACUGCUAUAUUCUUCAGCAAUUGGGUUUGAAGAGCCGAGGAACAGGGUUGCAAUUUUCAUCCCGGUUUAGUGCUGAAAGAGGGCUUUGUCUCUACAUAAGAAAGCAGUAUGCCGCACAGAACACGACCCAUGACAGCACUCUUGCUGUUCACUGCACUAAAUACAGUUUUGUGUGCAACCAUUACUCCAGUCUAUGAUUUUGUUUGCUUUCUUCCGUACUGGGAAAGAAGGAGGGAAAGGCGUCGCCAGCAACGAGAAGCUACUAUAGCUAACAGUACAAAUUAGCCAUGACAGCAUUUAAUUGGAGAACCUUUCCGUAGUAAGAUUUUUAUUGUCCUUUCUUGCCAUUCUUGACGUAAAUAACCAUAUUUGGAAUGAAAAUAUGAACACUUGGACCCUUGGCCGCAAUCGUCGGAUAUUUAUAUAAGUAACCUUACUGUAACAUUACUUUAUUAAGGUCGGAAACCAAAUAUUCAAUUGAGUCAAUUUUCUUUUUUAAUUUUA